AAAAAUCAUGACAGAAUCCCUUUAAGAUCAUACAUUGAUAUUAUUUAACAGAUGAAUGAAACAUAAUGUAAAUCAAAUACUGAUUCCAAACCAACCAGUUAUAUAACAAACAGCCCGUAUGUCUUUAUAUAAAUAUUCAUAAAUAUUCAAAUCAACAGUAGGAGCAAGAUAAUUCUGCUGUAAACUGGUUAUUUCAGUAUUUACCACUAGAUGGCAGUAGGAAGCCACAGGUCAUUGGUUGGUACUGGAGAUGCAGCAGCAGCAGUCUGUAUCCAGUGAUGUAACUAAAGGGGAAGCAGACCCUGGGUUGCAGGGAGCCUGGUGAACAGGGGGGCAUGGACCGGAAAUUUGCCUUUUUAUUCUCACCUUGUCUCAUGGCUGGAGCAGCCCUGCUGGGCUCAGUGGCUUGAAGGAUCACUCCAGGGAAGCUCACGGCAGGAGCAGAUCCCAUGAUGGUGGUGGUGUGCCCCAGGAGAGAAGAACAUUUUCAGGGCCUUCCUCACCAUUUGUACCAGUACUGGUCGCUAUCACCAAUGUAAUAAGCAGAAGAGGGAGCCCUGGCACCCUGUGAGAGCAGCUUGUGGUUCUGGAAUGCAACCUUUCCUAUGACGUGGGCUACAGUGAGCGCAGGAUGGCACGUGCCAUCUGUACAGAGAAGCUGAUCUCUUUCAGAGCAAAAAUACACUCAGCGGGGAAGAAGAAAUCUCAACAUUGAGCAGUCACCAUUGGGUUUACAGGAGAAGGAAAGCUACAGAGACUGACGUGGAAACUUCGGGCGACUUUGGAAAACGGAUGUCAUCCCAC
Long non-coding RNA from Xenopus laevis (African clawed frog), 804 nucleotides. RefSeq lists it as uncharacterized. Lineage: Eukaryota; Metazoa; Chordata; Amphibia; Anura; Pipidae. The record is from RefSeq and is a predicted model, not a curated record. The transcript has 3 exons.